AUAGAGACUCAGAGCUGCAUAUCAAUAAGCGGAGGAAAAGAAACUAACAAGGAUUCCCUUAGUAACGGCGAGUGAAGCGGGAAGAGCUCAAAUUUGAAAUCUUCAAGGUUCUACCUUGACGAAUUGUAGUUUAUAAGAAGUGUUUUCUGUUAGUGAGUGGCUAAAAGUUCUUUGGAAUAGGACAUCAUAGAGGGUGAGAAUCCCGUAUUUGACCAUUAUUUCCAGCUGUGUGAUACACUUUCAAAGAGUCGGAUUGUUUGGGAAUGCAGUCCAAAAUGGGUGGUAAAUUUCAUCUAAAGCUAAAUAUUGGCGAGAGACCGAUAGCGAACAAGUACCGUGAGGGAAAGAUGAAAAGAACUUUGAAAAGAGAGUUAAACAGUACGUGAAAUUGUCAAAAGGGAAGCGUUUGACACCAGUGUUGUUUUUCCGAAAAUCAAUUAUGAAUGUCUUGAUUUUGAGAGUUUCAUGACCUUAAGGCUUGUUCUCUAUUUUCAUGUACUUUCUUAAUGCACUUUUCGGUUAACAAGUCAACAUCAAUUUCUUUUGUUGUAAAAGGUUAAGAGGAAGGUGGCUUCAGCUUCGGUGAAGUGUUUAUAGCCUUUUAGCUCUGCAAUCGGAGAGAUUGAGGUCUGCAGCGUAGAUCCUUCGGGGUUAGAUACAGUUUGUGCUAAGUUAUAGCUUUUCAUAGACAACUUGUUGACUAUGUUAGUCUUGUGAAUUUACUCGCUGAUGCUAUUUUACCUACGCUUAGGAUGUUGAAGAUAUGCGCGACACG
RNAcentral lists this ribosomal RNA (775 nucleotides) under uncultured Neocallimastigales. RNAcentral's name for it is "partial large subunit ribosomal RNA". It matches the Rfam family "Eukaryotic large subunit ribosomal RNA", at positions 23 to 644 of the family's 3401-position model. The record is from RNAcentral. Lineage: Eukaryota; Fungi; Neocallimastigomycota; Neocallimastigomycetes; Neocallimastigales.